AGCGAACGCUGGCGGCAGGCUUAACACAUGCAAGUCGAGCGCCGUAGCAAUACGGAGCGGCAGACGGGAGAGUAACACGUGGGAACGUGCCCUUCAGUUCGGAACAACCCAGGGAAACUUGGGCUAAUACCGGAUACGUCCGAAAGGAGAAAGAUUUAUCGCUGAAGGAUCGGCCCGCGUCUGAUUAGCUAGUUGGUGGGGUAAUGGCCCACCAAGGCGACGAUCAGUAGCUGGUCUGAGAGGAUGAUCAGCCUCACUGGGACUGAGACACGGCCCAGACUCCUACGGGAGGCAGCAGUGGGGAAUAUUGGACAAUGGGGGCAACCCUGAUCCAGCCAUGCCGCGUGGGUGAUGAAGGCCCUAGGGUUGUAAAGCCCUUUCGGCGGGGAAGAUAAUGACGGUACCCGCAGAAGAAGCCCCGGCUAACUUCGUGCCAGCCGCCGCCGUAA
Molecule: ribosomal RNA, 449 nt
Filed under: uncultured bacterium
Lineage: Bacteria
Description: partial 16S ribosomal RNA
Rfam family: Bacterial small subunit ribosomal RNA
Source: RNAcentral